This 89-nucleotide microRNA precursor is filed under the name Nyctereutes procyonoides (raccoon dog). RNAcentral describes it as "mir-8799 microRNA precursor family". It matches the Rfam family "mir-8799 microRNA precursor family". The record is from Rfam by way of RNAcentral. Lineage: Eukaryota; Metazoa; Chordata; Mammalia; Carnivora; Canidae.
CGGGGGAGGCCGGAUCUUGGGCUGUGUCCCGGCGCCCUGUGCUCCGGGGCCUGCGCUGUUGGAUUCGCGCUCCCGCCCCGCAGCCCCCU